RNAcentral lists this ribosomal RNA (513 nucleotides) under uncultured bacterium. RNAcentral's name for it is "bacterial SSU rRNA". It matches the Rfam family "Bacterial small subunit ribosomal RNA", at positions 392 to 896 of the family's 1533-position model. The record is from RNAcentral.
CAACUCCGCGUGAGGGAUGAAGGUCUUCGGAUUGUAAACCUCUGUUGGGUGGGAAGAAACGGUUGUGUGCUAACAUCACAUAGCCUUGACGGUACCACCCGAGGAAGCUCCGGCUAACCACGUGCCAGCAGCCGCGGUAAUACGUAGGGAGCAAGCGUUGUUCGGAAUUACUGGGCGUAAAGGGAGCGUAGGCGGGAGAAUAAGUUAGGAAUUUAAUUUAUCGGCUCAACCGGUAAUCUGCUUUUAAUACUGUUCUUCUUGAGUAUGGGAGAGGAUGAUGGAAUUCCAGGUGUAGCGGUGGAAUGCGUAGAUAUCUGGAAGAACACCAGUUGCGAAGGCGGUCAUCUGGCCCAAUACUGACGCUGAGGCUCGAAAGCGAGGGGAGCAAACAGGAUUAGAUACCCUGGUAGUCCUAGCCGUAAACGAUGGACACUAGAUGUUGGAGGCAUUACGUCUUCAGUGUCGUAGUUAACGCGUUAAGUGUCCCGCCUGGGAAGUACGCUCGCAAGAGUG